RNAcentral lists this long non-coding RNA (551 nucleotides) under Homo sapiens (human). Its description in RNAcentral is "HSALNT0385003". The record is from RNAcentral. Lineage: Eukaryota; Metazoa; Chordata; Mammalia; Primates; Hominidae.
GUGUUCUCUGGAAAGACUGCCUUCCUGUCUUAAUUUUUAUCAAACAGUAUCCAGUUUUUAGUUCUACUUGGAGGGAAGGUUCUUUUUUCAGUUCACUUGGGCUUGAGUCCAAGACUUUGGGAACAAGCCUCUGUUAUCAAGGUCACUGGAGAAUGACUGAUAAGCUCAAGGCCAAUGUGUCUGUUCCACUUGUUCCCAGGAAGGGAGGACCCCACUGGGUCAGAACUAUCACUAUCUUCCAGCAUGUCGGGUGGGCAUAGGCUCAAGACAAGGAAUUUGGGAAUACACCCUGCAUUCUGAUGGACCAGCUGGUGCAACCCAGACUGGGAAUCCAUACAACGAAACUGGCUUACCUGGUCUUGUGAUCCUCACCCAGGAACUGACUCAACAUGAGAAGACAGCUUUGACCCCCUAUGAUUUCACUCUCAACCCACCAAUCAGCAUUCCCCAUUCCCUAGCCCCCACUUACCACUAAACUGUCCUUGAAAAACCCUAGUCUUUGAAUUUUGGAGGAGGCUGAUUUGAGUAAUAAACUCCCAUCCUUCAGCUUG